This 236-nucleotide ribosomal RNA is filed under the name uncultured Staphylococcus sp. RNAcentral's name for it is "partial 16S ribosomal RNA". It matches the Rfam family "Bacterial small subunit ribosomal RNA", at positions 104 to 334 of the family's 1533-position model. The record is from RNAcentral. Lineage: Bacteria; Bacillati; Bacillota; Bacilli; Caryophanales; Staphylococcaceae.
GGGUGAGUAACACGUGGAUAACCUACCUAUAAGACUGGGAUAACUUCGGGAAACCGGAGCUAAUACCGGAUAAUAUUUUGAACAGCAUGGUUCAAAAGUGAAAGACGGUCUUGCUGUCACUUAUAGAUGGAUCCGCGCUGCAUUAGCUAGUUGGUAAGGUAACGGCUUACCAAGGCAACGAUGCAUAGCCGACCUGAGAGGGUGAUCGGCCACACUGGAACUGAGACACGGUCCAG